UUCAUGUUGGAGAGAGAAGCCCUAUUUAUCUGCGGCACAGGUAAAGCACAGGCAGCAGCAGUCUCAACUUCCCUCACAGCUUUGCCAUUGUGUCUCGGCUCUGUUGGUGGAAGGGCUGACAAGGUAGUUCAGCCUUUCAGCCUCCAUGGCCCUUUCAUUCAUUGUUAGCA
RNAcentral lists this small RNA (170 nucleotides) under Crocodylus porosus (Australian saltwater crocodile). Its description in RNAcentral is "TUC338 (ENSCPRG00005004061.1)". Lineage: Eukaryota; Metazoa; Chordata; Crocodylia; Crocodylidae. The record is from RNAcentral.